CUAUGACCUGCCCACAGACACUUCAGCCAGUUAGUGUGUAAACAUCAUAUCAUGCUAUGUUUUCGGUUUGUGUUGUUUUCACUACCGAAUGAUGAAGAUAUGAAGAAUCAGUGGUUAAAAUUACUUUUUCAAGGAGAAAAGCUACCCAUAUGGUUCAGUACCCACUUUAUUUGGAACAACAUGCAUCUCCUAACUACAACCUGUCGCCAGAAUGACAGACAUGACGUCUUGGACGGUUGAAAUUCACACAAUCUUUUCAAGUUAAUGACUCUGAGCCCCGAGGCCUCAGACCGGAGCCUGCAGACCUUUGGAUUGAUUUCCUCCUGUCUCCUUUAGGUUAGCCCUCAGGAACCCCAUCCAAUCACAUCAAAUCACAGACGCCAAGUGGUGCGGUCCCGUCCAAUCACGCUGAUUGCUUUGGAAAGUUCUGGCCAUCCCUUAAGCUAACAGUGCAAUUACUGGAAGUGUCUCAUGAAAGAAGUGCGUGAGUGGAUGGGUGUGCGAAGGUGAUUAAUUGAGAUGGGAGCUGUAUAAGGGAGAAGAAAAGCAGGAGGAGAUCGAGGAAGCACCAGACAAAGGUUCGAAGGGGGUGACGGUCUGCCGGUUUAUGAGAGAAGAGUUCAUUGAGGGAUCAGGUGGAUACAUGGAAGGAGGGGGUAGCAGUCCACUCCAAGGCUUGUAUGAGAAAGUCUUGAGAUGUUUUGGAGAGCAAACUGACUAAUCACUUCCUAAAACAGAUGCUUUAUGAACUUUGUGAAGUGGAAAAAAACUUUAAAGGUGCAGUGCGUAAUUUUUAAGAAGGAUCUCUUGACAGAAAUGCAAUAUAAUAUACAUAACUAUAUUAUCAGUGGUGUAUAAAAACAUUACAUAAUGAACUGUAUUGUUUUAUUACCUUAGAAUGAGUUGAUUUUGUCUAUAUACACACCAUGGGUCUACAUGCACCACGAGUCGUUGUCAUGUUUCUACAGUACCCCUAAACGGACAAACAGCAGACGACUCCGGGCCGGAUCCGCACCGGAGCUGCCAACUUCAGUGAUGACACGUUUGUCCUGUGGCAGCUACCGUAGCUUCACUGUGCAUUUCGAAAUUGAGAGGUUUUGUGAUAUUCACCCUUGCGUGACAGCAAAAAAGUCCAUACAUUGAUCCAGGACAGAUCUUCGCCUUCAUCCCAGGUCAGGUGGUCAUCUUUAAUACUGCACAAACCUUCUCCAAAGACAAACUUUGAAUGUAC
Molecule: non-coding RNA, 1231 nt
Organism: Misgurnus anguillicaudatus (oriental weatherfish)
Lineage: Eukaryota; Metazoa; Chordata; Actinopteri; Cypriniformes; Cobitidae
Source: RefSeq, a predicted model, not a curated record